CAUAGUUGUAUUUUUUUAGCCUCUGAAUCUGUUGGUGUUUUGUCUAAAUUGGUUAACAUUGUAGUGCAAGUACAUUGUUACUUCCAAGCUUUGCACAUUUAACAAAUGUUAUAGUAGGCCACUCAACAUACUGAUGGCAUGCUGCUAUGUUGGACGGUAAAGUAUUACCUACUGCAUGGAAGGUAUUGGGAACUUGAAAGGCUUGGGUUAAAGAAUGUUUGAUUUAUUGAAGAAUUUGAGGGAAAAUAGGAGGGAACAGAGAACUGGGACACAUAGAAAUAUAGUAUAUGCUACCAAUAUGGAUAAGGACUAGAAAACACAAAGUAAAUUGAAACCACAUUGUGGGCUACAUAACAAAUUGAGGGACAUGUUGUAGGUACCAACGGAAACUUAAACUUACAUGACAAAAUCAAUGAAAGUGAUUCUUAGAGAGAGUUAUGUCUGAAUCUGUUGGUGUUUUGUCUAAAUAAUCCUAGUGCAAGUACAUUGUUACUUUCAGGCUUUGCACAUUUAACAAAUGUUAAUAAUAGGCAACUGAACAUACUGAUGGCAUGCUGGUAUGGAUAAGAACUAGAAAACAAGAAGUAAAUU
Molecule: long non-coding RNA, 591 nt
Filed under: Vitis vinifera (wine grape)
Lineage: Eukaryota; Viridiplantae; Streptophyta; Magnoliopsida; Vitales; Vitaceae
Description: long non-coding RNA (VVIN_LNC001976)
Source: RNAcentral